RNAcentral lists this unclassified non-coding RNA (451 nucleotides) under uncultured fungus. RNAcentral describes it as "partial contains small subunit ribosomal RNA, internal transcribed spacer 1, and 5.8S ribosomal RNA". The stretch from base 1 to 73 matches the Rfam family "Eukaryotic small subunit ribosomal RNA", at positions 1759 to 1831 of the family's 1831-position model. The record is from RNAcentral. Lineage: Eukaryota; Fungi.
GCAAACUUGGUCAUUUAGAGGAAGUAAAAGUCGUAACAAGGUUUCCGUAGGUGAACCUGCGGAAGGAUCAUUAAUGAGUUUGAAACCGGGAGCCUGUUGCUGGUGCGGAAACGCACAUUGUGCACGACUUCUGUGCUCAAUCCAUUUCAACCCCUGUGCACCUAAUUGAAGCGAGUAGUCUCUCUUUAUUUGUUGGUUGUAUGCGGAAGAGGGAUGAAUUACUAUAAGUAUGUCAGUAAGGCGAACGCACCUUUUUUGGUGUCACUAGCUUGAAGGCGAAAGUAGUAGUAGUAGUCCUUCUGAUCACUUGGCCGGCAAGGAAGAGGGUCGAAAGCUUUGACUUCUUUAAACACUUUGUAUGUCUUGUGGAAUGUAUUAGCUCCUUGUGGGCGAAAUAAAUACAACUUUCAACAACGGAUCUCUUGGCUCUCGCAUCGAUGAAGAACGCAGC